Molecule: long non-coding RNA, 204 nt
Filed under: Penaeus japonicus
Lineage: Eukaryota; Metazoa; Arthropoda; Malacostraca; Decapoda; Penaeidae
Description: uncharacterized LOC122263848
Source: RNAcentral
GUGCGGACCAGCUCGUACGUCGGGUGUGGGUCAUAUCGCUCUGUUCCUUGGCUUUUUCUCUGUGAAAAAUGUAAGAUGAAUCGAAAGGUUACGAAAGAAACUAUUUCAAACAACUUCGGACCGUUCCUAAUUAACUAGACUUUGAAAAGGGAUAUAAGAAUAAAGACAGAGGAGAAGAAAGAACAAGAAGAAGGAAAACAGAAA